CCUACGGGAGGCAGCAGUGAAGAAUAUUGGUCAAUGGGCGCGAGCCUGAACCAGCCAAGUAGCGUGAAGGAUGACUGCCCUACGGGUUGUAAACUUCUUUUAUAAAGGAAUAAAGUGAGGCACGUGUGCCUUUUUGUAUGUACUUUAUGAAUAAGGAUCGGCUAACUCCGUGCCAGCAGCCGCGGUAAUACGGAGGAUCCGAGCGUUAUCCGGAUUUAUUGGGUUUAAAGGGAGCGGAGAUGGGUUGUUAAGUCAGUUGUGAAAGUUUGCGGCUCAACCGUAAAAUUGCAAUUGAUACUGGCAGCCUUGAGUACAGUUGAGGUAGGCGGAAUUCGUGGUGUAGCGGUGAAAUGCUUAGAUAUCACGAAGAACGCCGAUUGCGAAGGCAGCCUACUAGACUGCCACUGACAUUGAUGCGCGAAAGUGUGGGUAGCAAACAGGAUUAGAUACCCUAGUAGUC
RNAcentral lists this ribosomal RNA (460 nucleotides) under uncultured bacterium. Its description in RNAcentral is "partial 16S ribosomal RNA". It matches the Rfam family "Bacterial small subunit ribosomal RNA", at positions 338 to 795 of the family's 1533-position model. The record is from RNAcentral.